RNAcentral lists this ribosomal RNA (495 nucleotides) under uncultured bacterium. RNAcentral's name for it is "partial 16S ribosomal RNA". It matches the Rfam family "Bacterial small subunit ribosomal RNA", at positions 28 to 507 of the family's 1533-position model. The record is from RNAcentral.
GACGAACGCUGGCGGCGUGCCUAAUACAUGCAAGUAGAACGCUGAAGGAGGAGCUUGCUCUUCUGGAUGAGUUGCGAACGGGUGAGUAACACGUAGGUAACCUGCCUGGUAGCGGGGGAUAACUAUUGGAAACGAUAGCUAAUACCGCAUAACAGUAGAUGUUGCAUGACAUUUGCUUAAAAGGUGCAAUUGCACCACUACCAGAUGGACCUGCGUUGUAUUAGCUAGUUGGUGGGGUAACGGCUCACCAAGGCGACGAUACAUAGCCGACCUGAGAGGGUGAUCGGCCACACUGGGACUGAGACACGGCCCAGACUCCUACGGGAGGCAGCAGUAGGGAAUCUUCGGCAAUGGACGGAAGUCUGACCGAGCAACGCCGCGUGAGUGAAGAAGGUUUUCGGAUCGUAAAGCUCUGUUGUAAGAGAAGAACGAGUGUGAGAGUGGAAAGUUCACACUGUGACGGUAUCUUACCAGAAAGGGACGGCUAACUACGUG